GCAAUCAGUGUCACGUUGAAACAGCGGUUCUCGUCCGAUCACCGAAGUCAGGCAACGUUGGGCUUGGUCAGUAUCUAGAUGACUGACCGCCUCGAAGUACCUGGUGCUGUAAG
Acanthosepion pharaonis is the source of this 113-nucleotide non-coding RNA. NCBI's taxonomy places the organism in Eukaryota, Metazoa, Mollusca, Cephalopoda, Sepiida, Sepiidae. The record is from the annotation of a GenBank genome assembly.